UACGUAGGCAGCAAGCGUUGUUCGGAGUUACUGGGCGUAAAGAGUGUGUAGGCGGUUCUCUAAGUUCGGUGUGAAAUCCUGGGGCUCAACCCUGGAACUGCAUUGGAUACUUCCUUGCUAGAGUACUGGAGAGGAAACUGGAAUUUACGGUGUAGCAGUGAAAUGCGUAGAGAUCGUAAGGAAGACCAGUGGCGAAGGCGGGUCUCUGGACAGUUCCUGACGCUGAGGCACGAAGGCCAGGGGAGCAAACGGG
This 253-nucleotide ribosomal RNA is filed under the name uncultured bacterium. RNAcentral describes it as "partial 16S ribosomal RNA". It matches the Rfam family "Bacterial small subunit ribosomal RNA", at positions 524 to 776 of the family's 1533-position model. The record is from RNAcentral.